GUUGGUUGGAGAGAAUAAAAUGACAGAACUUGAGGAACAAUAACUUCACUUCUAUUGCCACGAGCGCACAAAACAUUCAAGAUUCACACAUCUGAUACUUGACUGAAACUGUGUCAGAGCACUUGGAGCCUAAGGUUUGGACUUGUAACCAGACAGUACCACAAACAGGACCACAUGGCUUCCUUUCCUCCUCUAUAUAAGUUCUAAAACUGGCCUAGAUGCAGACCAAAUGGACCCCACUACCAUCACAUGACACAAUCAGUCCCAAUCUUGGCCCAAUCACUUUUGUCUCCUCCACCCUGGCUGACGUGAAUGGCAGGACUGGGGCUAUGACCCUGGCCCUGCCGGGAGCUGACCAAAGUUUGGAUUUAACAGUAUAUACCUAAGACACUCUGGAAAGUAUUAAGAACUGGUGUGUCACUGAAAUAAAUGUUCUCCCCUUGGGUGCUGCAAUCUC
Podarcis lilfordi (Lilford's wall lizard) is the source of this 457-nucleotide non-coding RNA. The record is from the annotation of a GenBank genome assembly. NCBI's taxonomy places the organism in Eukaryota, Metazoa, Chordata, Lepidosauria, Squamata, Lacertidae.